Molecule: ribosomal RNA, 445 nt
Filed under: uncultured bacterium
Lineage: Bacteria
Description: partial 16S ribosomal RNA
Rfam family: Bacterial small subunit ribosomal RNA
Source: RNAcentral
GUGAGGAAUAUUGGUCAAUGGACGAGAGUCUGAACCAGCCAAGUCGCGUGAAGGAAGACGGUUCUAUGAAUUGUAAACUUCUUUUGUGCAGGAAUAAAGUGGGUUACGUGUAACCUUUUGUAUGUACUGUACGAAUAAGGAUCGGCUAACUCCGUGCCAGCAGCCGCGGUAAUACGGAGGAUCCGAGCGUUAUCCGGAUUUAUUGGGUUUAAAGGGUGCGUAGGUGGAUUGAUAAGUCAGCGGUGAAAGUUUGCAGCUUAACUGUAAAAUUGCCGUUGAAACUGUAGGUCUUGAGUGCAAAUGAGGUAGGCGGAAUGGGGUGGGUAGCGGUGAAAUGCUUAGAUAUAACACAGAACUCCGAUUGCGAAGGCAGCUUACUGGGAUGCAACUGACACUGAUGCACGAAAGCGUGGGUAUCAAACAGGAUUAGAUACCCCGGUAGUCC